AGGGCAGUCAAGUAGGGUGAUUUGAUGAUCCCUGAUCUUCAGUAAAAUGCUUCAUAUAAGGAUGGCAAAAGUAUUCAGCUGUCAUUAAUGAGCAUAUGAAUAAAUGUAUCAGAUGAUGUAGAUGAAUAGGUGAUGUUCUGUUUAUAUUGGCUACUUUGGAUGAAAUUAAGAAGUACAGAGGAGAACCCUUAUCCAAACGAUCUGUGGAAGCAAUAACAGCUGUGGGUGGACUCCCAGUGUGUGACUCCAUCCUUUAAACUCACACUGAUCCACGGAGCGUCCCUGUAAUCAUGAUUGAAGAGCUGGCAGAGGAGGGGCGGUGUGGGGGUGCCAGUGCAGUGUAGCUGAUGUCUCUUUCUCAGCCGUGCGGUCUGAUAUUAAUCAAUGUGUGCUGAUAAUGAUGUGAUAGAAAUGAUGCAAUGGCUUUCUGCCAGCCUGGGGCUCUUUACAUUAUGAAAGUUUUUAUGAGCUUUGUCUUUUUUCCUCAAUUCUUCAAU
Molecule: long non-coding RNA, 497 nt
Organism: Conger conger (European conger)
Lineage: Eukaryota; Metazoa; Chordata; Actinopteri; Anguilliformes; Congridae
Exons: 3
Source: RefSeq, a predicted model, not a curated record